This 447-nucleotide ribosomal RNA is filed under the name uncultured bacterium. RNAcentral describes it as "SSU rRNA". It matches the Rfam family "Bacterial small subunit ribosomal RNA", at positions 26 to 518 of the family's 1533-position model. The record is from RNAcentral.
AGAGCGAACGCUGGCGGCAGGCCUAAUACAUGCAAGUCGAACGGAUCCUUCGGGAUUAGUGGCGGACGGGUGAGUAACACGUGGGAACGUGCCCUUUGGUUCGGAACAACUCAGGGAAACUUGAGCUAAUACCGGAUAAGCCCUUUUGGGGAAAGAUUUAUCGCCAUUGGAGCGGCCCGCGUCUGAUUAGCUAGUUGGUGGGGUAAAGGCCCACCAAGGCUACGAUCAGUAGCUGGUCUGAGAGGAUGAUCAGCCACACUGGGACUGAGACACGGCCCAGACUCCUACGGGAGGCAGCAGUAGGGAAUCUUGCGCAAUGGGCGAAAGCCUGACGCAGCCAUGCCGCGUGAAUGAUGAAGGUCUUAGGAUUGUAAAAUUCUUUCAGCGGGGACGAUAAUGACGGUACCCGCAGAAGAACGCCCCGGCUAACUUCGCGCCAGCAGCCGC